RNAcentral lists this long non-coding RNA (1284 nucleotides) under Olea europaea subsp. europaea. Lineage: Eukaryota; Viridiplantae; Streptophyta; Magnoliopsida; Lamiales; Oleaceae. The record is from RNAcentral.
AUUCUGUGUUUUAGUUUUGAAAUUUUUGCUUUUUCAAAUUGAGGCCUUAAAUCAUUUGGAUGAAAAAUAGUGGCUUUAGAAUUGAGAGAUUUUUUCUCAUCACUUUCUUUUAACUCUUUUUUAGAGUUUUGUUUGGAUGAAAGAUAGUGGCGGAUCCUACUUUUGUUUCAACUGUUAUUUACAAACUUGGAGCACGGUUCUCUCUAGAAGAUAUGGGUCAGCUUCCCUUUUCCUUGAGUGUUGAGGUCAUUCCCACAAUUGUAGGUUUAUUCGUCUCUCGACACUCUUGACUUGCUGUCCAAAAUCAAUAAGAGUGGUGCUAAGGACAUAACAACUCCACUGUCCACUAGCACUAGGUUGCAACUGGUUGAUGGAACAUCUUUAGUCAAUAGCACAGAAUUUCGACAUGUGAUCGGUGCUCUCUAAUACUUGUCACUCACUUGUCCAAACAUCUCAUUUGCUGUCAACGAAUUAUCUCAGUUUAUGCAUAAACCAACAUUCACACAUUGGACAGCAGCAAAACUUCUCCUUCACUACUUGAAGUAAACAAUUUUCAUGGUCUUCAUCUCCGCAAGGGUGUGAAUUUAGCUCUCACCCCAUACUCUGAUGCAGAUUGGGCUAGUAAUCUUGAUUAUCGUACAUCUACGGCCUAUGUCAGUUUUCUUGGUUCCAAUCCUAUAUUGUGGAGCUCAAAGAAAUAGCGAGCUGUUGUCCGCUCAUCUGUUGAGGCUGAAUAUAGAGCACUUGCAAAUGCUGCUUCUAAAACGCUAUGGCUGCUUUCAUUGUUUCAUGAACUUGGACUUCCUUUCAAGUCUCCACCAACGUUUCUCUGUGAUAAACCUUAGAGUGAUACACCUCAAUUUUCAAUCCCAUCUAGCAUUCUCGGCUAAUGCAUGUCCAGAUAGAUCUCCACUUUGUGCAUGACAUGGUUUAAUGAGGCACAUUACAUGUUCGUCCUGUCAACACUGAAGAUCAACUUGUGGAUCUUCUAACCAAACAAUUGUCACGGCAAUGCACGAAGCUUCUUUGGAACAAGAUUGGCCUUGUCAAUGGCAGCCCCAUCUUUUGGGGACGUGUUAAGGAUGAUAGCACAAAUCAAGCAUCAAUCAACAAAGCUAACUCUUAGCCUAUACGAGUAAAUCAAGGUUACAGUAAUCAAGCUCUAAUCAAGACAAAUUAUCCUAUGCUAAAAUUAUGGCAGCACCUUCACGUGUAAUCUGCAGUAGUCAACACAUAUUACUAAAUUCAAGGCUGUUGCUUUUUGUAAACAUUACAAAAUUGUAG